Molecule: transfer RNA, 76 nt
Filed under: Gammaproteobacteria bacterium
Lineage: Bacteria; Pseudomonadati; Pseudomonadota; Gammaproteobacteria
Description: tRNA-Thr
Rfam family: tRNA
About the family: Transfer RNA (tRNA) molecules are approximately 80 nucleotides in length. Their secondary structure includes four short double-helical elements and three loops (D, anti-codon, and T loops).
Source: RNAcentral
GCCGGGAUAGCUCAGCCGGUAGAGCAACUGUUUCGUAAACAGUAGGUCCGCAGUUCGAGUCUGCGUCUCGGCACCA